AAAAUAAAAGGUGAUGGAGCUCACCAUAAACUGCCAACUGGUUGGCUAAUGGCUCCUACGGAUAA
This 65-nucleotide non-coding RNA is filed under the name Alicyclobacillus sp. RNAcentral's name for it is "Fluoride sequence". It matches the Rfam family "Fluoride riboswitch aptamer (crcB RNA motif)". Lineage: Bacteria; Bacillati; Bacillota; Bacilli; Caryophanales; Alicyclobacillaceae. The record is from RNAcentral.